Molecule: small nuclear RNA, 104 nt
Organism: Diceros bicornis minor
Lineage: Eukaryota; Metazoa; Chordata; Mammalia; Perissodactyla; Rhinocerotidae
Source: RefSeq, a predicted model, not a curated record
GUGCUCACUUGGGCAGCACACAUACUAAAAUUGGAAUGAUAUGGAGAUUAAGAUGGCCCCUGCACAGGGAUGAUAGGAAAGUUCAUGAAGCAUUCCAUGUUUUG